Molecule: long non-coding RNA, 4313 nt
Filed under: Homo sapiens (human)
Lineage: Eukaryota; Metazoa; Chordata; Mammalia; Primates; Hominidae
Description: HSALNT0307423
Source: RNAcentral
AGGGAGGUGCCUCAGGCUCUUUUUAACAAUCACUUCUCAUGGGAGCUAAUACAGCAAGAACUCGUUAUCUUGAGAACUCAUGACCUAAACACCUCCCAUUAGGUCCCACCUCCACAACUGGGGAUCGAAUUUCAACAUGAGAUUUGGAGGGAACAAAUAUCUAAACUAUAUCAGGCUGGAAAUCAAUUAGUAAAGAAUUUUUAAAGGCAUUCAUCCAUCCAACAGAAAUUCAUUAGCCUCUUAGGGGCCUGGUACUGCUCUAGAUACAGAGAAUACAGCAGUAAAGAAGACACUUGAAGGGAUAAACAAGAAAAAUGCCAGGUGGAGAUUUACAACAGAGGGACAUGACAGACUGGUGGGCACUGUCAGCAAAGGUACCAGCCAGUGCAGGCCCUAAGAUGGAAAUAGGUUGAUAAUAUACAAAGAAUAGAAGGAAGAGCAGUGUAUUAGAGUGUAGAGGUAGUUCCUGAGAACAUUAUGAGAUUAUGUCAAAAAGAUUUCAGGGUAAAGAAUUUGAACUGCAUCUCAAGUGUGUUUGUAGUUUUGUUGGGAAGUGAUAGUUUUAAGCAAGGGUUUGACAUGAUCUGAUUUACUCGAAAGGGUGUCUUGUCUGUUUCCUUGAAAAUGACUACAGAGAAAUGUAGGUGGAGGCAGGGGCCCAUUGGAAAGCAUUUCAAUAGUCCAGAUAGGAGCUGGCAGUGGUCUGCACUAGGGUGAUUGUGGUGGAAAUGAAGGGGAGAGGAAAGACUGGAAAUGUGUUUUGGAAGAAGUAGAAUUGAUAGGAUUUGCUGAUGGCUUGGAUGGAGGAAAGAGGAAUAUAUUAUAUUUAAAUCUUUAAGCCACAUACAUUGAUUUGAUCAAAAUUAACAGGACAAAUACAAAUCAUCAUUUUCAGUUCAGUUUCAUUUAAUCAUUAUCAGUGGAGCUCCUACUAUGUGUAAGAUAUAAUUUCAGAUUCAUUCAUUUGAUAAACAUUUAUGGAACACUGACUAUACCCCAGGUACUGUGCUGGGUACUAAAAUCUGGAGCAAGAUGGACACAGUCCUUCCCUCAGAGGUCUUGAGGUUGAGUGAGACAGAGAAAUCAUCAAACAGUGAGUGCAUGCAUGCACAUCAUGAGAAGGGCCAAGAGGGAAAAAGACAAAAUGGCUUUUAGAAUAAAAACAGACAGAUCUCAUCUAGCUUGUGUUGGCUGGAAGGCUCCCCUGAGAAGGUGACAUUUGGGCUGUCUGAAGGAUGAUGGCAGUGAGAACAUCAUGUUUAAAAGUCCUGUGGUAGGAAGAAACAUUGUCAUUCAAGGAACAGAAAGAAGGCCAGUGUGCCAGAAGCCUAGAGAACAAGCAAGAGGGGGAUGAUGUGAUGGAGUGGGCAGUCAGUGGCCAGAUCACACAGGGCCACGCUGACCUUUCUAUGGGAUUCUGGUUUUUAUUCUAAGGGCAAGGAGAAGAAGGUGAUGUGAUUAGAUUUUUUAAAUUUUCUUUGGCUGCAGAGUUAAGGACAGAUUUGGUCUUCACAUUUAGGGUCUCUAGGGGAACAAGUGGAUUGGGAAAAUCUGAGUCAGAUGGGCUGCCAAGGGGAGGAAGUGAAGACCAAGGAAAACUGGAGAUCUGUUAGAAGGCAAUGAGAGAGAAUUUCAUGCUCAACAUGCACCAACACAGAUGUCAUGGUUGCCUUUCCAUGUCAACACAUCUAGAAAGACUACACGUUUUUUCUGCAGCUACGUAACAUUCAACUGUAUUGACAGGUUAUACUUUAAUAUUUACCAUCUCUCUAUGGGUGGUCAUUUAAAUUGUUCCAAUUUUUUUACUAUGGCAAACAAAACUUUUUUUGGAACAUACCUCAACAUUUAUCUUAGCUCUUGAGGGACACAUAGAGGUAAAAAUGCCAGGUCAGAGUGCAUGAGCAUUUUAAGUUUUAAUAGAUGAUGACAAAUUGCCCUGAAAAAUGUGAUGCCAAUUUUGAGCAAUAUUUUAAGAAAUAAUGUUGAGCUAAUGUGUCAGAUCUAGUAAGUCCAGAAUCACGGCAGCAAGGAAGGAUCCAGUACAGUGAUCCAGGGGAGAGGUGUUGAGUUCCUGACCUCCCAUGAUGGACUCUUUUGGAGUUUGCUUCCAAGUGGGAAAUCCUCAGAUGGGCAGUGAUUGUCCUUCGGCCAACAAAUCCUCCUGGACAGUAAAUUCCUGAACUUCUGCUGCACAGGCCAUAAGGAGAGGAGUAGAAGUCUUCUGAGAAAGUGGUUGUUAGAAGCCAGAAUCCCAGCUCUAGAAGGGAAACUCCAUGAAUGAUGGCACCAUGAAUGUCUUGUUCAGUAUGGAUUCCUCAGCAUUAAUAGGGAUCAGUAAAUAUUUGUUGAAUGAAUAAAUAAGAGUCCUAUUAAUUGACCUUAUUGUGUCCAACAAAAGUUACAUUUCCCCACUGUAGUGAAUUGUUGGCAGCAUCACUCUUUGCUGUAUACCAUUUAGAAAAUAUAACAUUAGUUGAUUUUCUACUUUUACCCCUCCUUUUAUGUCUCCAAAGAGACAGCAUCUCCUUUACCCAUCUUGGCUAUGAAAUCUACUAUCUUUUGGACUUUGUCAAAUUAGAGACUGAAAAACUCGAGCAGGUCUUUUUCUCUGCACAAUGUAUCAAAACACAUUUCAUAUGCUAUGCAGCACCCCUAACUAAUUUUCACCAAGUGUAUUUUCUCUGGGUCUAGACCUCUUCAUACUUUACCAUCAAAAUGUAUUUAGUCAGCCUUAUGAAGAUGGGCAAAGAUCUUUGAAGCCUUGGAGUAAAGAAUGUUGUGUUUGCUUUCGUGGAGUUGUCCUCAUACUGAGAUAUGGUAGAAGUAGUUUCCUUGAUCAGCCUCGGGAAAAUGGGACAGGUCUGUCUCUGGAGCUCUGUGUGUUUUUUUCCUUUGCAGCAAAAAUACUCAUCUCUCAUUUGAGAGCUGAUCAGUACAUUGGCUGCAGCCAUUCCUCCCAGGUUUUCCAGAUUGAUCAAGCAGUACAUGUUUGAUGAAUUAACCAUGACCAGUCAGCUAUUGGCUCUUUGGGGCAUUUAAAUCUACAAAAUUUAGUAGUUAGCAGGACACAAAUAACAAGAGUCCUGAGAUUUGUGGUUUGUCCAUCUCCCACUUCUGGGGCCUCUUAUUCUUAAUCUGUAAAGCAAGGAUUUGAAUGUUCACCCUCACCUAACUCCUGGAUUCAUGAGUUUUCAGCCUCCACUUCUCCCUGCCCACGCUGAUAUGGAGAAGGCUGAAGAAAGAAGAAGGGAAGGAAAAGAGCAAAUCCUUUGUUGAUCUGAGAAGUCAUCAUAAAAGUCCUGUACUUGUAGAAGAACUGCAUACAACUUUUCCAAAUAAAGUAAAUCUAGCUUUUAUGUUUUAUUUAUUAGGACAACACAGAUUCCCAUCUCAGUUUCAACAGUCUGCCAAAUGUCAUUUUUUUCCCUAAAAUCAAAGUUCAUCAUUGCUUGAACAUUGGAGGGCUCUAAAGGUCUUGAUUUUAUUGUACUUAAAAAAUUUUAAGCAAAUCUGUGCUAACAACAUGUUGACAUAUUAAAAAGCUAUAGUUAUUAAAACAGUGUGGUAUUGGAGUAGGAUCAGAUAUGUAGAUUAAUCAAACAGCAGAGAGAGCUUGUAAACAGAGCCAGGUAUAUGUGAAAAAUUUAGCUUGUGUCAGAGACAACAUUGCAAACCAAUGAAGAAAGGGUAGAGAAUGGCUGUAUACCAGAGAAAAAAUAAAAUGAGAUUUCUAUCUUAUAUCAUAUACAAACAUAGACUCCAGAUAGAGUAAAGGUCCAAAAUGUAAAUAAUGUAAUUUUAUACCUGUGAGAAAAAAAUGCAUAAGUAUCCUUGGGGUAGGGAAAGCUUUCUUUAACAAGAUACAAAAUACACAUACCGUGGAGGAAAAGGUACUGAAAUCUGACAGUAGCAAAAUUUCACCCCUUUUAUGGCAAACAAAACCAAACAAAUCCUCGACCCCAUUACAAACAAGGUUAAGACAAUUGAGUAAGACAUAUGAUGCUUUUUUGCUUUAAUAAAUAAAUGGUGAGAAAACAAAAGGGAUGAGUGUUGUUAGGGACAAAAAGAGACUUAAGAGGCACAGUGACCAAAUAAAACACAGGGACAUCCUUUGGAUUCUAAUUCAGAGAAACCCAGUGUGAAAGAAUGUUUGUGGGUCAGCUGGGGAAAUUUGAAUACUGACUGGUUAUUAAGAAAUUGUAAGAAAUAGUUAACGUUCAAGGCAUAAUAAUGAUAUUGUGAUAAUUUUUAAAGAUUUGUGUUUUUUAGAGGAACUACUGAAGUAUUCAUGAUUAAAAUUUUACAGUGCCUGG